CUUUGUGCUAACAUGGCAUUUUCCCAUUGUUGCACCUAUUGUUUUAGGGUUUAGACGUUGUUCGUCAGCGAUGUUCAUAUCUUCAUUUCCUCUGCACUCAUUAUGAAGCUCUUGGCCCCUCCAUCUCCUGGGCGGAGUGAAUUUUGGGGUGAACUUUUCCCGUUACUACUGUACCACCACCUGUAACAGAACGUCUCACGACGAAGGAGACGACCGCGACGGUGCUGACUUUGCCGGACCUUUGCAUUCUCGUCAGCGAUUGAACACCGCCGUCUGACCGGAACCGUUCCUCAAAUCUCCAUCGACGCCGCUCUCUCCUUCGGCUGCCUCGCCGCUGCUCCGGCGAUCUCCAAUCUCUUCCAGGUCCACCUAAAAUUAAGUUUAAGGUAUGGUUUGAUUUCUGAAUAUUUGUAUAUAUGCAUAUUCUUCAAGCGGUUGGUAUCGAUGUGCUAAGAGAGACGCUGGAGACUGCAGAGGAAUCAUGAGCUAUGAAGAAGAGAAAAAGAGCCCCUUUUUGUGGAGCAGAGAAGGAUUCGAUUCGAUUGAUCAGAAGUCAAUAAAGUUAAGCCAAUGAGCAGUUUUAAACAAGUAAUCCCAAAUACUAUGGUUUCUGUUACUUAUGAUUCUUAUAUUGUGAGAAUCAUGUAUAUGGUAUGAGUAGGACUUAAGCUCUGAUGGUGGGUUUUAAUUACUUAAAUUACACGCAAGACAUAUCACUUAAUCUUUUUGCUAUACACCCUUUUUUUCUCCACAUUUAAUUACAACUAAGUAACAAACCAUGGUCAAGGCCGGCCCUGAGCAUGGGUGGGGUGGGCGCCGGCGUGAACCCAUAAAUAUAAUUAGAGGUGAAUCCAUAUACAAGAAAUAGUUAUAAUGCAAUGAAAAGGUCUCUUUCAUCCAAAUGGUACCCGGUUCAAGUGUCUUCUCUAUCAUUUUUAUGGCCCCUUGGCCCCCUUCUCUGGGUAUUUUUUGUCCAGUUGACAUGGUUUUUUUAAGGCCCCUUCCCUGGGUAUUUUUGUCCUGUUUGAGUGC
This 1032-nucleotide long non-coding RNA is filed under the name Helianthus annuus (common sunflower). RNAcentral describes it as "sRNA HanXRQr2_Chr07g0292021". The record is from RNAcentral. Lineage: Eukaryota; Viridiplantae; Streptophyta; Magnoliopsida; Asterales; Asteraceae.